CUGGGCGCAGCGCGCGCCGAGCUGCGCGCGGAGGAGCGGGAGCGCGGGACGGCGCACCGGGGAGGGCGUGCUGGCGGCGACAUGGAGGACGGCGUGCUCAAGGAGGGCUUCCUCGUCAAGAGGGGUCACAUUGUCCACAACUGGAAGGUGCGAUGGUUCACCCUUCAGCAGAACACGUUGCUGUACUACAAGCUUGAGGGGGGUCGGAAAGUGAUCCCCCCCAAGGGCCGCAUCCUUCUGGAUGGCUGCACCAUCACCUGCCCCUGCCUGGAGUAUGAAAACCGACCACUCCUCAUUAAGCUGAAGACUCAAACAUCCACGGAGUACUUCCUGGAGGCCUGUUCUCGAGAGGAGAGGGACGCCUGGGCCUUUGAGAUAACAGGAGCUAUUCACGCGGGGCAGCCGGGCAAGGUCCAACAGCUCCACAUACUGAAGAACUCCUUCAAGCUGCCCCCUCACAUCAGCCUGCAUCGCAUCGUGGACAAGAUGCACGACAGCAGCAGCGGAAUCCGGCCAAGCCCCAACAUGGAGCAGGGAAGCACCUACAAAAAGACCUUCAUAGGCUCCUCCCUGGUGGACUGGCUCAUCUCCAACAACUUUGCAGCCAGCCGUCUGGAGGCCGUGACCCUGGCCUCCAUGCUCAUGGAGGAGAACUUCCUGAGGCCGGUAGGCACCCGAAGCACGGGAGCCAUUCGCUCUGGGGAUCUGGCUGAUCAGUUCCUGGAUGACUCCAUGGCCCUGUACACUUUUGCUGAGAGCCCCAAGAGGAAGAUAAGCUCCAAGGAAGAAAUCAGUCUCAGCACCGUGGAGUUAAGUGGCACAGUGGUAAAGCAAGGCUAUCUGGCCAAGCAGGGGCACAAGAGGAAAAACUGGAAGGUGCGGCGCUUUGUUCUGAGGAAGGACCCGGCUUUUCUGCAUUACUACGACCCUUCCAAAGAAGAGAACCGGCCAGUGGGUGGGUUUUCUCUUCGUGGUUCACUCGUAUCUGCUCUGGAGGAUAAUGGCGUUCCCACUGAAAGACUGAAGUGAAAAUUAUGUGCCAGAUUCUCCUCUAAAUAUUCCCAGUAUGCAAGCCAGCAAUCACGGCUCCCUCGUGGAAACGGUUACAUGAAAUUAGACUUCUGGAUUUAAAGAGCUAGUAGAGGCUGCUAAAUUAAACAAAGGGACAAACCUUCAAAAAUGGCUCAAAUGGCUCACCGACACACUCUUCUAUUUUCCAUUCCCUUUAACACUGAGAACAAUCAGCUCUUAAAGAAAAAAAUGAUGGAGACACAGAAAAACCAUUGUAAUUGUGUUCAAACAGAUCCCCACUCUAUUAUGAAGAGAACUGAAGCUUCUACGUGGCACCUAGCAAAUAUUUUACUGGAAAAAAAACCCCAAAAGUUGGGCAAUGAGACUCAAAUAACUUAAUUUAAAAAGCAGCAUCUUUUUCUUAAAAAAAACACCCCUAAAACCUUUACCACCCUGAAUUACAAACUCAAGGCAAGCAGCUUAGCACACCAACAAGGACCAGUGUGAUAAAUUCUCCCUCAUACCACAUGCUGUCAUCAGUCUCAAAUAGGUAAAAGGCACACAACCAAUGUAAUUCUUUAGUUGCAUUUUAAGGCUUUUUCCCCCUAGGAGUAAACUUUCACUAAUUAAAAUUAUGUUCUCUAAACCCUCCCUUUGAAAGGAUCUGCUAUAUUGAUCCUUUAGGUCACCUGCCUUUAUAUUACUACAUUUCAAAUAAAAUGAAGAUAAUAGAAUUAGGGUCUUAGUAAUCAUAAUGCUUUUAACUGGUGACAAUAAGGAAGAAACCUAUGGUUAAAUAUCCCAGAAAUUUAUUUAAUGUUUGCUUGAUACAUUUUAUAUAGAAAGGUUAGGACUAUUUGCUUUGGGUGCCCCUGGUAAAUCUCAUGGAGGCACUGAACUACAAAGGGGUGCCAAUCUGGAGACAUCAGAAAUGGAAAUCACACGCCCCAUUUUAUGACUGUUCUUAAAGAUUUGUCUCUAGUGAAAUCAGGCCACUCCCUUAAAAAAUGCUCAAGGUGUCAGAGCUACUGUGUGAAAACAGCUGACAUUUAGGAGGGCAUUUCACGUUUUGGUCUGUUGGAACAUUUAAAUACUUCGAAAUAAAAAAUAUUCAGCUUUGAAGUUUUCAAUACUGGAAAACUUUCAAGUCUAGGGUUAACAGCCAGGAAGGCUGCUUUGUGUUCCUUAAACUGGACUCUGUUGCCCACAAAGUUAAUCUUCGGCUUUGGCUUCCAUUUCUUCUGCAUCGUCAUCUCCAUCCACUUCGGCAUUUUCUCUCUCCAGCCUCUCCAGCUGCCUUGCAAGUUCAGUCUCAUCUGUAUCUGUGACCACUUUGGGCUGUGGAAGCAGAGGCACAAUUUCAAAGUGAAGUAGUUAAACAGUACACAAAUUCAAUUUCAAUAGUAUUACUGCC
RNA transcript from Lagenorhynchus albirostris (white-beaked dolphin), 2425 nucleotides. It is a transcript of the gene named pleckstrin 2, with no coding region annotated. Lineage: Eukaryota; Metazoa; Chordata; Mammalia; Artiodactyla; Delphinidae. The record is from RefSeq and is a predicted model, not a curated record. The transcript has 10 exons.